Molecule: long non-coding RNA, 13471 nt
Filed under: Eucalyptus grandis
Lineage: Eukaryota; Viridiplantae; Streptophyta; Magnoliopsida; Myrtales; Myrtaceae
Description: long non-coding RNA (EGRA_LNC001020)
Source: RNAcentral
ACUACAUGAUGCCCCUAAUUCUUCAGAUUACUCCUAUCUUCACUUGGAAUACUUUAAGAAGUUCACUGUUGUGUUGACAGAAAGAUGCCCAUUCAAAAGCACUCAUGUUUUCCUGUCAUUUCCUUGUCAUUCCUAGCUAGGAUUCUUUUUUUGGCUGAAUCCGUCCGUUUCUUUAGAUGAAGAAUUGUCUUUUUAUAUUCUUUAUGGGGGAACCCUCAUUAUACUCACUGCCAUGUGUGGCUUUUUUUAUAUGGGUACCACUAGCCUACGAUUUCUGGGGAGAUUCAAUCACCAAUGGGUGUUGCCUCUGUUGAAUUCAUUGAUCCAAGGGAACCUGUGGUGGUAAGUUUUCAUGUUAGCGACUUUUCCACAGAAAAUAUGACAUUGACAUGUUUAUUUGUCUCUUGUGAAAAAUAGUGCUUGUGGUUUUCUCGUAAGGGGGUAGAUUUUGAGUUGGUCAGUUCAAUCCAUUCUUGGGUGCCUCACGUUGCCCAUACAUUCUUCACCCAUAUUUGCCCAAUAUUGAUGAAAAUACCAGAGGACAGGACCUUGUUUUCUCCAUUCCAUUACUAUGGGCAACAGCAUCUGACAUUGGGGUAUUUAUUCUCUUUUGCAGGUUAUUCCAAUCUUAAGAGCUGGUCUUGCUCUUGUUGAAUAUGCAUCAUCAAUCUUGCCGGCGACAAAAACAUAUCAUCUAGGUUUUCACACAUCCCUAUUUGCAUUCUAAGGGCAUUAAGAGGAGAGGAUUUAGGUGCACCAGGUGGAGAGCCUCCAAUGCAUUCUCAGCCCUUUUUGCUGGCCACACACAGGACCUGCAUGAUCUAAGGGCAAGGAAUGCAUUGGGCGCACUCCACCUGGUGUUUUCUUCCUUUAUAUAGUGAUCAUUUGCACCUGUUGCUUAAUAAUUCUCCAAACCAAGUGACAAGCCAAUUCUUGGUUAUUUAAUGACUCAACUGUCUUGGGAGUGUUGGUGUCCUCCUACCCGUUACUUAUUUAAACUCUCAAUUGUCUUUUCAUUUAUCUUUUCAUUUUGAGUUGAUCAUCUGUCUGUUUCCCAUGAAAUGGGUUCAGUGUUGGUUUCUUACAAUAAGGAUCAUGACUUUUAUUUUCUGUAAAUGAAGGCAUCAGCAGAGAUGAGGAAACACUUCAGCCAACUGUAUAUUUGAACAAGUAAGAAUCCACUCAAUGAUAUUUGUACCAUGUUUGAUCAUUUAAAUUAGGAGGGAAAGGAGGGGAAAACAAGAGAAAGUCAAGGGUGUAUUCGCACUAUAUUUGCAGUAUGUUUGGAUGUGUAUUGCUGAAAAUGUAGGGAAAUGAGCUUAGUUAGUGGACUACAAUAUGCUUGUCGUAUUCGUGUUCGAGAAUGAAGUGGAGGGCACACGUGCAUGAGAGGUUAAGGUCCCUUCAUUUCCUUCCAACUCUAUGAGGAGAUGAAAAGUGGGGCCGAAGGGAAACACUUCUUCCCACUUCUAUUCUUUUCAGUCUCAUUUUAUCUGGGCCAAACAAAAGAAAAGUUUUCCUUGGGAAGCAUUUCCAUCUGCCACUUUCCAAUUUCCUAUGAACAGACAGGGUUGCAGUUCUUCUGUGUAUCUCCUCUUUGUUGGUAUUUGGACUUGUAAUCAUACCUUGUGCAUUGAAAAAUCUGAAAUUCACAGGUUUUGGUUGACAAUCUCUCUACUCUCAAAUUAGAAUACCAUAGUGCUUAUCAGUUGGUUCCGUUAUCUUCAACAUCUUUCUGAUUCUUCCCCAUUUUUUACUGUGUCCCAGGUUGCCUGAUAAAUUACCUGAUGUUUCUCGAGUAUUUGUGGUAGAUCCGAUGCUGGCAACAGGUAUCCUAUCCUAUCUGUUCAAAGUGUCUUCUCUUGUUUUAGUAAUGUUGGUGAUCUUUAGGUCAUUCGAUGAUGUAAUUGGCAUUAUCAAAGGGACCAAUUCACAUGUAUCUCUAUCAAAUCUGGUGUUUAUGGAUAUUUUAUUAGAGAAAAAAUUGUGUUUGGUCUGAUGUAACUCACCUUUCCUUUGCAGGGGGCACAAUAGUGGCAGCGCUUAAUCUCUUGAAGGAACGUGGGGUUAACAGCAAGCAAAUCAAAGUGGUAAGUAUAUGUAGUCCCCGUUCUGGGGUUAGAUUCUCUGAGCCUUUAGUCAUAUCUCAAGUUGUUCAUUUAUGGACUGGUCAUGGAAUUAGAUGUAUGCAUUGUGAUCAAAGCAUAUCAGAUCAUGCUGUUCAUUUUUAGCUUUAGUUGGUGAUGUAUGAUAAACAGAUUUUUUAAGGGCUCUCUUUAUAACGGGUUUUCUAAUUGAAGCUUAAUUUUUUCUCCAUCUGACUUUUCAAAUUGUAAGAUCACUGAUUUACUUGGAUGCACCUUAGGAGUUCUUUUGUCGAUUUUUUUAAGAGUACAAUGUGCUUGGAUGUACAAGUUUCUAGGUAGUGAUUGGCAAAUAAUUUGUUAGCCAAAUGCGUGGAAAGAGCAGGCGCAUUUUAUGUGCUUGGACAGAUGAUUCUUAGCGAGAGCAGGAAAAUCUGAAUAAAUAGUUCCCUUGUUGAUUUGUGUUUUCCAAAGGUGGGUACAGAAUCAUUGUGGUGAUUUAGCUGUUUUGUGUCAUUCAUUUAAUAAAAGGAGGAUUGGUUUAUUUCUGUCUGAGCUCUUUGUUAUCUUCAUGGUAUAAAAACAAUAUAUUGUGACUUGGAAGUAUGAAGAGCACAAAACUGCAUAUUUCAGUCAGGAUAGUGAUACAUCUAUGGAUCUUUCAACUUUACAUAUUGUUAGAGAUGACGUCAUUGUGCUUUUAACAUCGCCACUUAAAAAUAAUUAGGAGAUUAUGUCCUUGCAGAUAUCAGCCGUUGCUGCUCCUCCAGCUCUACAAAAGCUCAGCGAAAACUUUCCUGGGUAAAGAUGUCAUAUUUUUGGUAUCCAUAGUGGAAGUCUGUCUGUCUUACCUGUCUGUCUUACAGGCUUUUGUAAAAGACAAGAUUGACCAAUGGUGUCUGGCUUUUACAGGCUUCAUGUUUACACUGGAAUCAUUGAUCCGAAAGUAAAUGACAAGGGGUAAGAAUCAGCUCUUUUUUUGACGUUUACACAAUUUGGUACCGUAGUCCAAUACAACAAUUUCUUUUCCUAUUUCAGGUUCAUAAUUCCUGGACUUGGAGAUGCAGGUGAUCGCAGUUUUGGUACUUAGGUUCACUUUUAUUAUGGUUUAGUUGGAUUUUGGGUUAUUCCUUUGAAAUUUUGACAUGGUGUGCGAUUAGAUCAUUCAUUGAGAAAUUUUGCUUGUUGGGUCAAUCAUUGACUUGUACAAGAGGCGCCCAAAUUGUGAGGCAGAUUAUUGAUGUGGACAACAAAACAGUUGAAAUGUAUAUACUAUAUGAAUAUGCAUCAAUUCGAUAUGGGAAAGAUUGUCAUUUUGCAUUGUGAAUGAUCAUUUAUUAAUGCCAAUUUACGAACACAUGUUCGUGGAUCAAAGCGAUAUUUCUUGAAUGCUGAAUGAAAAUCUCAUUUACUUGCGAUUAUAGGUUAGGAUAGGGUGUUCUACGCUGCCAACCAUGAGAUUUGGAAGGUGAUCUGACUGCGGCUAUAGUAGCACUAAUUAUUACCAAUCAGGUGGUUUGGUUGAAUGAUCCAAGAUUUUCCCUAAUCUGUCUUUGGUCUUAAGAAAAAUUGGUCAGCCUGCGAAGGAGGGACGUGAGUUCAGAUGUACUGCUGCUCAAUAGGCAGUUAGUGCUUUGUCAGCGUCUUUAGAUCCCCAAUUCCGCCAAAACACUUUGGCAAGCAAUAAAAGUAGCACUGUGUUUUGUUCCAUCAUAACUCAGGACACAUCUAACUCCCCCUCUGGCAUCACUUUCACCAGCUUCUGCAUCUGCCUAUCGGGACUAUUGGGUAUUUGCCUCCACUGCUUUAGAUGAUUAAUGCGGUGUUUCUUUUCUGUGUCAUGCCUUUGCUACAAGCCUAAAUGCCUGUAGAGGCAUUUGUUUGUGUCUGCCACAUAAUUAGGAUCAGCUAGCGUUGGCACGACCACCGCGCCUUGAUAGAAAUAAUGCAGACGGUGAUUGCCUGUCACUUGCCCUGUGAUAUACUUGCGACCCACCUCGCAUGAACGAGGACAACUAUGUUGAAUUUUCGGAACAGCCUGAGCCAUGCUGGAACCGGAACUCAUGCUCUCUAACGUUUGAAUAAAAAAAACUAGAUCAAAUAUUGGUCUUUAAUGUUUCAAAUGUAUGAAAGGUUAAUAAGAAGAUAAUAGUUUUAACCCAUAAUUUCUUCACUGUCAUUACCAACUUCUAAUAAUCUUUUGUAUCAUUGGUGGAUCCUACACCAGCGGAUGAUAUAAAAUAGAGUUGUUUCUGUAACAUAUCAACAGAACCAAGUCUUCCAUGGGAUGCGGUCAUUAUGUAAGACAAAGUUAAGGGUCAAGAUCGAAAUGGAACAAUAUAUUUUUAGGGGCAUAACACAAAAAAAUUACGAUUCAGACAAAUAACAUAAGAGUCACUUUUAACAUUUUCAGAACAGCCUGUGCCGUGCUUGGACCGGAACUCAUGCUCUCUAACGUUUGAAUCAAAACAACUAGAUCAAACAUUGGUCUUUAAUGUUUCAAAUGUAUGAAAAUUUAAUAAGUAGAUAAUAGUUUUAACCUAUAAUUUCUUAACUGUCAUACUACCAACUUCUAAUAACUUUUUGUAUCAUUGGUAGAUCCUACACCAGCAGAUAACAUAUCGACAAGACCAAGUCUUCCAUGGGAUGAGGUCAUUAUGUAAGACAAAGCUAAGGGUCAAGAUCGAAAUGGAACAAUAUGUUUUUUUAGGGGUAUAACACAAGAUAACUAAGAGAUUCAGACAAAUUACAUAAGAGUCGCUCUAAAGCAAAUUAGCUCUCCAGCGACACUACGUGCAUGCUCGAUUGCUUUUCUGUACUUUACAAUUGUAAGUGAACCAUAUGCUUUAACGAGGUAUUAAUGCAUGGUUGGGCUCGAUCCCUCCCGUUGGCAGUUUUCGCAAUGUUUAUGGAUUUAGACCAGUCUGACGUACUUUCUGUCAUAUGUGUCUACACCUACUUUCAACGCUGCUAUUCACGAACCAGCCGUCUUGCCCCACGCCCCACCUAUGAAUUGUAACAUGGGGUCCCCCUGGAGUUUUUCAACCUUUGCAAUUUUGUCCUUGGGACUAUCUCUUGUGCAUUCAGGUUCUUGGGAUCCUCUCUUCUUUCUUUUUAAGCUCGAUAUUCUCUCACUCUACCAUAGUCAUGUUAAUAUAUGGAUUCUUUUCCCUUCCCACCUGUGAGAUGCUUAAAAUGCAACCAGUGUCCGCAUGAUGCAGCACGAUGCUCGAUUGAUUCAAACCUUUCUUGCUUUUGUUUACAUUGUGCAAAUAAACUGCCCUAUUCCAUCAAAUGUCACAGGGAAGCAUUUGUGCUUUUGUAAUUGCCAUCCGCAAAAAGCUGAUUUAUAUGCAGACUCGCAUAGUCAUCAUCAAUCCUCACGUCGUCACAACCCUCAUUUCACUUAAAGGGCUAUUGUUCUCGUCCACUUUAUUAUCUGUGAUUCUUCUUCAGGCAACAGUCAGUCAUGGGGUUCUUGAUGAUGAAUUGAGAUGUCCAUAUUUUGUCUGGAAAUGGUGAUGGAAGCUUUGAAAUGGAAAGAAAAUCUGCUCUCUUCAGUAGAAACAGAAGAAAACCGUUCUCUGCCUUUUCCUUCUCUCUUCCUUCAACAACAAUGGGCGCCAUUCAGGAUUUUGGGCGCCUGCGGUCCUCUCUCUCUCUCUCUCUCUCUGCGCCCUGGUAUUACAUCCGAAGCAAUAUUCCCCUUAUUUUUCAUAGCAUCGAUACUUGACGAGGAUGCUGGGUUCUUUUAGCUGUGACUCUGGAAGCAACCAAGGGAGUGGAUGAACAUGAACAUAUCCAUCUCACUGCAUUUGCUGCACUUGAACUAUUUUGUCUAUGCUUUUCUUAGGUAAUCGUUUAUCACCAGCGAUGUGAUAACACGAUGAUAUACGUACUUCCUGAUAAGACGAGCGUUUUUGUCUUAAAUUGAUGGGCAGCAACAUGUCAAUACAUCGCGUUCUAUGUGAUGUAGAUGUUUUUACUCAAUUCUUUCAGCCGACUACGUCAUAUCAAGAUUGGGAAAGGUGGUCAAACGCAGGGCAAUCCUUCUUUCUGAUGUUCAAGUACGACUCAGCUCAUCAUCCUCUCUACCGUAUCGAUGCAUAAACUGCUGAAUGCACGCGCGCAGACUUUUCAAUUUUAUAGGAUUUGUCUUUUAGCUAUUGCAACGAGAAAAUGUUGGAGUAAAAGGAUUAACCUUACAUUAAGUAAGAAACAAUAGAAAAUCAUCAUUUUGAUGAAAGGAUGCCAAGUUGUUUACCAAGAAAAUUAUCCAAAAAAUAUUUUAUGAAUUCAGUUUUAAAUGUUUUCAUAUUUUAUCAAUUGAAUCCAUCAAAUUAAUUUUAGUUAGAAAUAGAUAAUAUAAACGCAGAUCGUCUUACAUAGCACAGUCAGUAUUGACAUUGAUAAUUUUAAUAAUUUUUUAAUAAUUUUUGAAUUUUUUCUUUUUUCUUUUUCUUAUUUCUUAUUUACUUUUUGUUCUUUUUUUUUUAGUUGGCAGGGAGUUGCUGACCAAGGCCCAACAACCCCCGCCAACCAUUAGGUGAGGGUCCAUGAGCCCUCGCUAGUUGUAGGCGAGGGCAACAAACCCUUGCUGGCCGAUGGGCGAGGGCUCACAACCCUUUUCUAACUAGGUGCGAGGGCUAGUAGCCCUCACCUACUACUUGCUAAGGAAGCAGGCCCUUGCCCAACUAAGAGCAAGGGCUGGGAAUCUCGCCCAAAACUGACAAGGGCUCGUGUCACCUAAUGGCUAGCAAAAGUUGCUGGCCCUUAACAAUAAAAAUAAAAAUAAAAAAAGUAAAGGAGGAAAAAGUAAAAGAAAAGAAAAGAAUAAAAAAUAAAAUAAAUAUUAUUAAAAAUGAUCUAUUUAGCGAUUUUCAAUUAGUUGGAUAUACUCAAUUAAUAAAAAAUAUUUAGUUGACACAAUUGAAAAGAUGGCAAUUGAUAAAAUAUGAAAUUUUUUAGGAUUCAAUUGACACACUUAAAAGGUUGAAGAUUGAAUUAACAAAAGUGUAAUAGGAUUAAAAAAAAUUUGGACAAUUUUCUCAAUAUUUACCCCUUGACAUUGGUAUGUGCAUUCCUUACAUUAAUGAGAAAAAGAAAUUAUUAAUCCUACUCACAAAUAAUCUGAAAUGGAAAAUUUGGAAAUCCCUAAAUCCCAUGUUAACUGAUAUAAAAAGGAGCAAUUCUUGGAAAUUCUAUCAACGUUUUCUUUUUCCUAUGUCUUCAUUGCCUAAUCAGCAAGAUUGACAAAAGAUCUCCGUCUCUCUCUCAUACACACAUAAUCAUGCGAGGCGUAUUGACACAAAUCAUGGAUUUGCGAGCUCUCGUUGUUCUUGCGAUCACCAUGAUGAGAGAUGGAAAGGGCGAGAUCGGUCCACUCGGAUCUGUUGUAACAAGCAUCAAGGUAAGGUCACGAAGUCUCUUGCCUUCAGAAUCUCCUCUUCUGGUGAUGCCUGUGAUGUCCAUGGAUGUUUUCUUGAUUUCAAUUCUAGACUGAGAUUGGGGAUGUGCACGAUUAUCUGGACACCUACAACCAACCCAGCUUAAAUCAUCCUGCACUGAAAGAUCUCAGCAUUCAGAAAAGGAAGUUAGCAGGUUUGGAUUUUCAUUUUUCCUGUUGGCAUCCUAGUUGCCUCCAUUGGUUCACCAUGAUUAAUAAGCAGGUCAAGUUCAACCCGUGUAACCUAAAAUUCACCCGUCCGAUAAAUUGACCUUUUCUUAUUAAAUUAGCAUCUUUUUUUCUAUUUUUUUACUACUAAUGGUUAUUAUAUAAGUGAAAUUGACAUUUUAAUCACUGUUAUGCUUCGACAAUUUUUUCAAAAUUAUAAAAACUUUGAACACAUCAAAUUUGAGGUGGAAAAAUCUGUAAACACAUCAAGUUUAAAUUUCAUCUCAAAGAUGCUACUCAUGUGGUGGUGUGACUUUCAAUUUUGAGUGACCCUAUUUGACCAAAUAUUACGGGUUAUGCAAGUCAUGUUCAGGUCAUCUAUUUGACAAGCCGGUUAAUGUUUUGUUUGACAUGAUUAGUAAACAAGUCUUGCAUGGGUUUCCUAUUUAUUAAAAUAGUCUUAAGUUGAAACAACAUGAACAAGAUGUGUCAACAUAAUAUUUUUUUCAAUUAUAAAUAUUAUCAAAGCCUCGAAGAGGAAUUGUGAUUUAGUCGUUAGAGAUUCACAUUACUAUCGAAUUAUAAUCUUUCCCUCAUUUGACAUUAUAUCAUUAUGAUUUACUCAAUAUAAUGUAUAUGCUUUUCUUGAAACUUAUCGGUGAAGAUUUUGAGAUUGAAACUAUUUUGAGGGUUCAUUCAAUCAUAUAAAAUAAUAGCUAUAAACUUGCCUUUGUCCACUUUUACUUUCUCCAUGUCCAUGCAUCUGAUGAACAAAAGAAAACAAUCAGAUUUACUUCUGCCAUAGUUAAGUAAAAUAACGAUUUUUGGCAGAGACAACCUAGCAAGUAAUUAAGAGAGACGAUGGCCCAAGAUCUCGAGAUUGAAUUGCCUGAUGGAGUCCAAUGUGCUACGCUCGAAUCUGAAGGGUCAUUUCCAGUCUUAAGGGUGAACAGACAAAAUCCAUCUGCAGUUCCACCCAUUGUCGACAAAGGACAUCAUCCUUAUUCCUCAUUAUUUGUUGGAGGUCUCGAAGUAAGUUUUUUUUAUCACGCCCAUGAGACAUCUGAUCUUGAUACCUUCUUAGAGACGAUGUUUGUACGGAUUGGGAAAAUAAGGGCACGAGCGAAUGCCAAGGAUGCGACGCUUGUCAAGUAUUGUUAAGUUCAAGCAAGACUUCGGUUUGCAGUGCUGGAAUUCUCACCCUGAAGAGUCCUGAAAGACAGUACCUCGGAACAGCGGCGCAACUCAACAUCUACAAUCCGGCAGUUACUUUGCCUCACCAAUAUAGCUCAGCUGCCAUUUCUCUAGAAGCCAGAAAUCUGCCUAGUCCAAGUCAAAUACGAGUUGGGUGGAUAGUAAGAAUGUCUGAAAACAUCGCACGCUCGAUUCCCAGAAUUACCUUAACAUAACAACAUAUUUAUACACGUGAAUUGCUGCAUUCAAUUAACAACUUGGGACAUUCACCUUGACAGGUGAAUCAGGAUUUGUACUGCAGCAGUCAGACUCAUUGGUACUUGUCAUGGACGGUGAGCGGCCCUAACCUUGUGUAACCCUAAUAAUCAGAAGGUCGAAAGCAUAUGAAAAGAGAAAUUAAGGGCUAUCUACAAGUUGGUUUUGUGUUGUUCUUGCUUGCAUGUGGAUCGGAAUGAUAAUCACAAAUCCACAGGAUGCUACAACGUCGAUUGCCCAGGCUUUGUGUACCUUAAUCGUCAAGUGUCACUUGGAUCCUAUUUUAGUAACAUCUCGGUCUACGAUGGGAUUCAGAAUGUAGUGUGAUUUGCCAUUAGGCAGGUGAGCUCAACACAUCUCCAUUUACCACUACUCCACUUCUUUUCUGCUCAUCUACUGCUUUUACUGAUGUGAGGAGGCUAAUACAUUUGACGAAACCCUAGAAGCUAAACCCUAGUUUCACCUACUAAGUGAAGUUUCCUAGUACUGAAAGACGCUUGAAAUCCUUUGCUUAACCUUCAUGUUGAGGUCCUUGCCAGAGCAAUAUAUGAUUACUCCUCCAUUUUAACGUGUUCAUCUCAAGUUCUUACUUGUGGAUAUUUGGACGAAUGCAAUUUUUUCAGCACCCAAGAUGUGGUCUACCACGAUAAUGCAUACAUCGGACGAGCAGAGUCACGCUGUUAUCUAGAAGGCGAUAACUCACUGAAAUCAGAUCUGCUCUAUCAAUAUAGCUUUGCGUUUGGGGGACUUGGUGGAAAUCAAUGUUGAAACGAAUGGAACGUAAAUUUUGAGAUAUUGUCCUAAAUAAUACACAAUCAAGGUGAUAUAUUGUCCUCAAGGUACGAUUCAAUGAUCAUCCAUGCCGAAGGAUUGAGCAAUGACCGGGACUGAUAAAAAUUUGCAUAGUCAAAACAGUUCAUUAAACUUCUCAUUUAUUUUAUUUUUUGGGGUCGAGAUGUUAUUUCUUAACUUCAACUUAAUUCUUAGAGCGAAUUACAAAACCCGAGCAUAGCACCAACAACGAAUGAAUAUGAAAUUUUUGGUAUUCGCAAUUGGUUCUGCUUGCCAUACCAUUCAUUGCCGGAUUGAAUUUGAGACCAUCCUGAGAAGCAUAAUUGGUUGGAAGUAUAAAAACGAGAAAAACCAAAAUGAGGAAGAGGAAGAGGGGAAUGAAUGUUCCUACUUUCAGUAGAAAAAAACAAAUAAAAAAGGAAAAGCCGAAAAGGAUGGUAUUAGACCACACCGGCAUAGCCACCAUCGCAGCUGCAGCUGGCGCUUCCGCCGCUGGUGUUGCUUAGCCGGGGAGGUUUGGUGCUGAGACAGCAACACAUGAGGCCAAUCAGCAGCAUGAAUCCCCAUGCAGAGGCCAGAGCUUGUAACCAUUCCCUCAUCUCCUCCCUUUGCUCGUUUAAUUGAAGUGAUGCUGGUCUCGAGCCAAACUGUUUCUAGCUCGCAGCUUUUAUGUGCGCGUCUCUUUCGUGGAUGGGAUUUCAGGUCGCACGGCUCUUUGCUGCUAAUGGAACGAUGGCAUCUUUUCUUUUGAACAAGAGAAUAAUCGCAUCUCGAAAAUAGAGAGAGGUGAGCACAAGAUUUUCAAAGAGUCUGAUGCCGAUAUUGAAUGGACCUAUCCUGUACCAUUAAUAGCAUGCGUAGAGUGGCAAAAGCUUGCUACCAACUUCAUUAGACAGGCCCAGGUCGAAUUAAUUGAAAAGCGAAAAGAGAACACCACCAAAAACAAGAGGCGAGAAAAUGGAGCACGUAUGUGGGAAUUUGUGGAAAGGGAUUGAAGGUGGACCCUUCCACACAUGGAAUUUGAAAGCUGAAAGAAUGAGGAAUCGAAAAAAAGGCAUUGAAUGAUAGAGCAACCAAAAGGAAGAAACCCACGUUGUAAAGAAAGCGGGGCAAAAGGCAAAAGGCAAAAGAGUACUUUCAAUUCAUCAGGAAGAGCCACACGUACAGCCAACAGAUCCUCUCUGCUUUCUUUUCCUUUUCCAUUUGCGUACAAAAGUUCCUCUUGCAUAUGCAUCAGACAUGUAUCAUUUCUGAAUCUCCGUUGGUUCGAGAAGAGCUUCAAUUAUUGUGAUCGCGAACACCAUGGUGUUGCGCCACCAAAUUGCAAUUACACCCAGUUGACUGUUAAGAGUCAGUAUGUAAAUGAUGAAAAAAGCUUCUCCAAGAUUGUGAACUCAACCAUCACAUGAGAAGCUAAUUGCUGCCACAAUGCAUCAAUGCAUGCAUUCAAGAAUAGACAUAUGCAUGAGCAAACAUGCACAGUCCCUGACGACAUCUUAAUCAGUAUUUAUUUUGGUUGGAUACAGUAUGCUGCAAAAAGAGUCAAUAGCCGAAGAUGUGUAUUAUCCUGCUAGGUCCAAACAUGCACACAGCCAUCUGAGAUAAGCCAAGGGAGGAGAGAUCAUCCAUGCCAUCCAUGCCAUCCAUGCUAUGAUAACUAAAUCAGAGUAAAACUGAGACUUGGAUAUACACGAGUCACUCGCUCCAGACACCAUCCAAUUGAUCAGCAGGAAAAUAACUUGGAUGCAACCGCAUUUUCCGCCUAACAUCAUAAGCUGAACAGAAGAACCAUAUUCAACAUUUCAUUUCUUCUUUUAGUGGGAGGAAUCACAAAUAAGCAACCACCUCAAGCAUAGUUCAUGAACCAGGUUUCCAUUACCAUAUCAAUCUGAAAGAACUCUAACAAUGAAUUGCACUCGUUAUUGUUUUUCUGAUAAUAAUGCCAGAGGACUAGUUUUCUUUACAGGACAAAGUUCUUACAAUUUACAUUCCUUCCAUUAUCAGCUAGAGUCAACAGCCUUCACCUGACAAGUCCAGACUCCAAUAACCUGAAGCUGUUAAGAGCAGUAGGUGCCGUCUCAGCAGUUCACCAGUUUGGAGUAAAACCCUAUAACCGGACUGGCUUGUUGGAAGCUGUUAAAAAACGAAAUAAAGCAAUAUUGAUCAACUUUAGCAACUCAAAUUCGAGCUAAAUAUAAAAAUAACUUAAAAUGAGAAGGCGAGCAGCUUAUAUCCAUGGAUGCCUUAAAAAACAUAGAAGAAUGUAAGCUACAUAGCUGUUGAAUCACAACUGCAUAAGACUGCAUCACAACUGCAUAAGACUGCAAAAGGGUCGUGAUGGAGUAAUUAGAGACAUACAUACAGAAAAAUCAGCAACCCAUUUCCCAGUUACUCUGCUUCAUUAAAGGUCGCUGUAAUUGCGCCAAACUGCACGAAACUCUUCACGAAAUGUAUUUAGGCGUGCUUUCAGGUUUGGUGUUCUGAAACUUGCGUGAAGGACAGUAGCUGGAAAAAAAAGGGAAUGUGACAAAAGCAAAUUAGAAUAAAAAUUAGAAGAUGCUAGAGGCCAAAUCUGUGCUAGAAAGAGAAAGAGAGAGAAAGAGAGCGAGAGGGACGCACCAAGGAGUCCAAUGGCAAAAGCCCAGAGGAGAGUCAAGAUUCCACAGGAAACAUACCAAAGCACAAGACUCGCUGAGGAGAAUAAGAAGUGGAAGGGAUCCAAAAAAAAAGGAAAAAGUUAAAUGCAGUCACCAUAUACACAAAAUCCAAAAAACAAAGAUAUAAUUGAUCACUAAAAAUGCUGAUCAUAGGUUAGCACCAACCAGAGGCAAAUAUCGAGACAAACACCCGGCGAGGCUGGCCACAGAUAUGGAUUGAUCUUUUUGCUGAUGGACGUCCACGAAUAACAGGUCUGCAGAAGAAUGUAUAGAACUAAGUACAGCUCUGAAAUAUUUUUUUUGUAGGUACAAUCAGUAAGCACUUCACUUACAUAUGAGAGGGCCUCAAUUUGGCAGCAAAAUGUGGUGAAAACUGCCUCACAGUCCUUGUUAUCUUCUCACUGAAAGUGCCUGCAAAGCUGUACUAGAAUCCUUAGCAUCUAGAUAAUGCUGAAAGACAUAUACCGAGUACAAGAAAACAAACAAACCAAGUAUGACACUUUACUGACCAUCAAAGAAACUACUGUAAAGUAUCCUUCUAUUUUUCCAGAGGUCAUCAAAUAACUCCCAUCAUAAGGCCCUCAGCCCCAGUCCAAAUAUAAACAUUUGGAUAAAAUACGGAGAUACAGGAAUUACACAGAGCACCUUCAAUUUAUCAAUGAAUUAAAUAUGCAGACAAUUAGAAUCAAGUUGAGCACACCAAAAGUAGAGGACAACCACCUUGAAAUAGAUUUUGAGCAACAAGAGAGAAAAUUAAAUUAGUGGUGCUCUGUUAACUAUAUAUUUAUAUCCUUUCUAAUUUCAAUUGAGGGACAUAAUGGCAGAGUUGCAGCCUGCAAAAUACUGUAGCUGCCAUUACAGGUACCACUAGCCAU